This 74-nucleotide transfer RNA is filed under the name Candidatus Pelagibacter sp. RNAcentral describes it as "tRNA-Cys". It matches the Rfam family "tRNA". Rfam says of the family: Transfer RNA (tRNA) molecules are approximately 80 nucleotides in length. Their secondary structure includes four short double-helical elements and three loops (D, anti-codon, and T loops). Further hydrogen bonds mediate the characteristic L-shaped molecular structure. tRNAs have two regions of fundamental functional importance: the anti-codon, which is responsible for specific mRNA codon recognition, and the 3' end, to which the tRNAs corresponding amino acid is attached (by aminoacyl-tRNA synthetases). tRNAs cope with the degeneracy of the genetic code in two manners: having more than one tRNA (with a specific anti-codon) for a particular amino acid; and 'wobble' base-pairing, i.e. permitting non-standard base-pairing at the 3rd anti-codon position. Lineage: Bacteria; Pseudomonadati; Pseudomonadota; Alphaproteobacteria; Candidatus Pelagibacterales; Candidatus Pelagibacteraceae. The record is from RNAcentral.
GGUAUCGUGGCGGAAUGGUUACGCAGGAGCCUGCAAAGCUUUUUAUCCCAGUUCGAUUCUGGGCGAUACCUCCA